UACGUAGGUGGCAAGCGUUGUCCGGAUUUAUUGGGCGUAAAGCGCGCGCAGGUGGUUUCUUAAGUCUGAUGUGAAAGCCCCCGGCUCAACCGGGGAGGGUCAUUGGAAACUGGGAGACUUGAGUGCAGAAGAGGAUAGUGGAAUUCCAAGUGUAGCGGUGAAAUGCGUAGAGAUUUGGAGGAACACCAGUGGCGAAGGCGACUGUCUGGUCUGUAACUGACACUGAGGCGCGAAAGCGUGGGGAGCAAACAGG
Molecule: ribosomal RNA, 253 nt
Filed under: uncultured bacterium
Lineage: Bacteria
Description: partial 16S ribosomal RNA
Rfam family: Bacterial small subunit ribosomal RNA
Source: RNAcentral